RNAcentral lists this long non-coding RNA (533 nucleotides) under Physcomitrium patens. RNAcentral's name for it is "long non-coding RNA (PPAT_LNC014415)". Lineage: Eukaryota; Viridiplantae; Streptophyta; Bryopsida; Funariales; Funariaceae. The record is from RNAcentral.
CGGUACGAACGCAGACUUCAAAAAGGAACUGGCCAGAUUAUGUGCACCAACUGUCGACGCCUUCACACUGCAGAACUUGGACCUGAAAACACCAGAUAAGUUCGACAACAACUACUACAAGAACCUGCGAAGAGGCGAGGGCAUUAUCCGAAGCGACCAGGUUCUGUGGAGCUCCGAAGGCACUCAUCAAAAAAUCACAAAGGACUUCGCAGAGAACCAGGAGAACUUCUUCCGCCAGUUCAUAGAGAGUAGCAUCAAGAUGGGUAAGAUCAAGCCACCCCCAGGGAGUCCUAGUGAGAUCCGGUUGAACUGCCACCAGGCCAAUCCCCGGCCCCUCAUCGAGCAGGUUGUGGCUGUCGAGUGAUUUGCUUGCUUCGACAUGUGGACAAUCGGCGGCUUCAUCACGUUCUGGAAGGCCGUCGAAAACGAGUUCUGCCCUCUGCGAACAAGAUUGAAAGAUGGUAGUGGAAUGAAUUGGUGAAGUUUGUCAUUCCAUUUCGAGGGCCAGGAGAGCAAUUUGCAACAGUAUAAAC